Molecule: ribosomal RNA, 304 nt
Filed under: Xenophilus aerolatus
Lineage: Bacteria; Pseudomonadati; Pseudomonadota; Betaproteobacteria; Burkholderiales; Comamonadaceae
Description: bacterial SSU rRNA
Rfam family: Bacterial small subunit ribosomal RNA
Source: RNAcentral
UGGCUGUCGUCAGCUCGUGUCGUGAGAUGUUGGGUUAAGUCCCGCAACGAGCGCAACCCUUGUCAUUAGUUGCUACAUUUAGUUGGGCACUCUAAUGAGACUGCCGGUGACAAACCGGAGGAAGGUGGGGAUGACGUCAAGUCCUCAUGGCCCUUAUAGGUGGGGCUACACACGUCAUACAAUGGCUGGUACAAAGGGUUGCCAACCCGCGAGGGGGAGCUAAUCCCAUAAAGCCAGUCGUAGUCCGGAUCGCAGUCUGCAACUCGACUGCGUGAAGUCGGAAUCGCUAGUAAUCGUGGAUCAG